RNAcentral lists this ribosomal RNA (253 nucleotides) under uncultured bacterium. RNAcentral's name for it is "partial 16S ribosomal RNA". It matches the Rfam family "Bacterial small subunit ribosomal RNA", at positions 524 to 776 of the family's 1533-position model. The record is from RNAcentral.
UACGGGGGGGGCAAGCGUUGUUCGGAAUUACUGGGCGUAAAGGGCUCGUAGGCGGCCAACUAAGUCGGAUGUGAAAUCCCCAAGCUUAACUUGGGAACUGCAUCCGAUACUGGAUGGCUUGAAUCCGGGAGAGGGAUGCAGAAUUCCAGGUGUAGCGGUGAAAUGCGUAGAUAUCUGGAGGAACACCGGUGGCGAAGGCGGCAUCCUGGACCGGUAUUGACGCUGAUGCGCGAAAGCCAGGGGAGCAAACGGG